GAUGAACGCUGGCGGCGUGCCUAAUACAUGCAAGUCGAGCGAAAAGACGAGGAGCUUGUUCCUCUGACGUUAGCGGCGGACGGGUGUGUAACACGUGGAUAAUCUACUUAUAAGACUGGGAUAAUUUCGGGACACCGGAGCUUAUCCCGUAUAAUCUAUUGCUUCGUAUGGUUCAAUAGUGAAAGACGGUUUUGCUGUCUGUUAUAGCUGGAUCUGCGCCGCAUUAGCUAGUUGGUAAGGUAACGGCUUACCAGGGCGGCGAUGCGUAGACGACCUGUGAGGGUGGUCGGCCACACUGGAGCUGGAACACGCUCCAGGCUCCUACGGGAGGCAGCAGUAGGGAAUCGGCCGCAAUGGUCGAAAGCCUUGCAGAGCAACGCCACGUGAGUGAUGAAGAUCCUCGGUUCGUAAAACUCGGUUAUUGGGUAAGAACAAAUUUGUAAUUAACUAUGCACGUCUUGACGGUACCUAAUCAGAAAGCCACGGCUAACUACGUG
Molecule: ribosomal RNA, 497 nt
Filed under: uncultured bacterium
Lineage: Bacteria
Description: partial 16S ribosomal RNA
Rfam family: Bacterial small subunit ribosomal RNA
Source: RNAcentral